UAGCUCUGUGGUAGAGCACGUGCUUAGCAUGCACGAGGUCCUGGGUUCCAUCCCCAG
RNAcentral lists this transfer RNA (57 nucleotides) under Camelus bactrianus (Bactrian camel). It matches the Rfam family "tRNA", at positions 8 to 63 of the family's 71-position model. Rfam says of the family: Transfer RNA (tRNA) molecules are approximately 80 nucleotides in length. Lineage: Eukaryota; Metazoa; Chordata; Mammalia; Artiodactyla; Camelidae. RNAcentral also lists the same sequence under 2 other names. The record is from Rfam by way of RNAcentral.